This 755-nucleotide ribosomal RNA is filed under the name uncultured marine group I thaumarchaeote. RNAcentral's name for it is "bacterial SSU rRNA". It matches the Rfam family "Archaeal small subunit ribosomal RNA", at positions 102 to 858 of the family's 1478-position model. Lineage: Archaea; Thermoproteati; Nitrososphaerota. The record is from RNAcentral.
AGUCAACCUAACCUAUGGACGGGAAUAACCUCGGGAAACUGAGAAUAAUGCCCGAUAGAACAUUAUGCCUGGAAUGGUUUAUGUUCCAAAUGAUUUAUCGCCGUAGGAUGGGACUGCGGCCUAUCAGUUUGUUGGUGAGGUAAUGGCCCACCAAGACUAUUACAGGUACGGGCUCUGAGAGGAGUAGCCCGGAGAUGGGUACUGAGACACGGACCCAGGCCCUAUGGGGCGCAGCAGGCGAGAAAACUUUGCAAUGUGCGAAAGCACGACAAGGUUAAUCCGAGUGGUUUCUGCUAAAGAAACCUUUUGUCAGUCCUACAAACACUGAUGAAUAAGGGGUGGGCAAGUUCUGGUGUCAGCCGCCGCGGUAAAACCAGCACCUCAAGUGGUCAGGAUGAUUAUUGGGCCUAAAGCAUCCGUAGCCGGCUCUGUAAGUUUUCGGUUAAAUCUGUACGCUCAACGUACAGGCUGCCGGGAAUACUGCACAGCUAGGGAGUGGGAGAGGUAGACGGUACUCGGUAGGAAGGGGUAAAAUCCUUUGAUCUAUUGAUGACCACCUGUGGCGAAGGCGGUCUACCAGAACACGUCCGACGGUGAGGGAUGAAAGCUGGGGGAGCAAACCGGAUUAGAUACCCGGGUAGUCCCAGCUGUAAACUAUGCAAACUCAGUGAUGCAUUGGCUUGUGGCCAAUGCAGUGCUGCAGGGAAGCCGUUAAGUUUGCCGCCUGGGAAGUACGUACGCAAGUAUGAUACUUA